Molecule: ribosomal RNA, 454 nt
Filed under: uncultured Glomus
Lineage: Eukaryota; Fungi; Glomeromycota; Glomeromycetes; Glomerales; Glomeraceae
Description: SSU rRNA
Rfam family: Eukaryotic small subunit ribosomal RNA
Source: RNAcentral
AGCAGCCGCGGUAAUUCCAGCUCCAAUAGCGUAUAUUAAAGUUGUUGCAGUUAAAAAGCUCGUAGUUGAAUUUCGGGAUCAGUUGGUCGGUCGUGCCUCGGUACGUACUGGUCAAAUUGAUUCCUACCUUCUGACGAACCACGAUGUCAUUAAUUUGGUGUCGCGGGAAAUCAGGACUGUUACUUUGAAAAAAUUAGAGUGUUUAAAGCAGGCUCGCGCUUGAAUACAUUAGCAUGGAAUAAUGAAAUAGGACGUUUGAUUCUAUUUUGUUGGUUUCUAGGAUCGACGUAAUGAUUAAUAGGGAUAGUUGGGGGCAUUAGUAUUCAAUUGUCAGAGGUGAAAUUCUUGGAUUUAUUGAAGACUAACUACUGCGAAAGCAUUUGCCAAGGAUGUUUUCAUUAAUCAAGAACGAAAGAUUNGGGGAUCGAANACGAUCAGAUACCGUCGUAGUCUU